This 598-nucleotide non-coding RNA is filed under the name Ipomoea nil (Japanese morning glory). RNAcentral describes it as "Eukaryotic small subunit ribosomal RNA". It matches the Rfam family "Eukaryotic small subunit ribosomal RNA", at positions 4 to 603 of the family's 1831-position model. Lineage: Eukaryota; Viridiplantae; Streptophyta; Magnoliopsida; Solanales; Convolvulaceae. The record is from Rfam by way of RNAcentral.
CUGGUUGAUCCUGCCAGUAGUCAUAUGCUUGUCUCAAAGAUUAAGCCAUGGCAUGUGUAAGUAUGAACUAAUUCAGACUGGUGAAACUGCGAAUGGCUCAUUAAAUCAGUUAUAGUUUGUUUGAUGGUACCUACUACUCGGAUAACCGUAGUAAUUCUAGAGCUAAUACGGUGCAACAAACCCCGACUUCUGGAAGGGAUGCAUUUAUUAGAUAAAAGGUCGACGCGGGCUUGCCCGGGGCGGCGAGGAUCAUGAGAACUCGACGGAUCGCACGGCCGGAGCGCCGGCGACGCAGCAGGCAAAGGGCUGCCCGAGCAACUUUCGAUGGGGAGGAGAGUGGCCUACCAGGGGGGACGGGGACGGAGAAGGAGGGGGCGAGCCGGAGAGGGAGCCGGAGAAACGGCUACCACAGCCAAGGAAGGCAGCAGCGCGCGCAAAGGACCCAAUCCGGACACGGGGAGGAGGGACAAGAAAUAACAAGACCGGGCGCGAGCGAGGCGGGGAAGGGGAAGGAGGACAAGCGAAAGCCCGGAACGAGGAUCCAGGGGAGGGCAAGGCGGGGGCCAGCAGCCGCGGAAGGCCAGCGCCAAGAGCGAGA